Molecule: long non-coding RNA, 3208 nt
Filed under: Triticum aestivum (bread wheat)
Lineage: Eukaryota; Viridiplantae; Streptophyta; Magnoliopsida; Poales; Poaceae
Description: long non-coding RNA (TAES_LNC023820)
Source: RNAcentral
AACUAUAAUAAUGCUACAUAUUAGAGGCCAAAUGUAGUUCUCACGUAGCAUAAUAAGUUCUCUUAUCCAUACGGCAUCUGUUCAAGAACAUUUUACCUUUAGUGUUAGAUGGAUAUUGCCCUCCAAAAAUCAAACACCUUCAAUCUCAACUUGCAAACCUGAAGGCUUCUACUAAAACUCAGGCACUCAUGCCAAGAGAAAGAGAGAGAACAUUAUGUCAUGACCCAAAAUAAUAGUAUUAUGUCUGAAAAAAGCAUAACUGAUCGUAUACAAUGAUUUACUAAUACUAUGAUUAGUUGUUCGCACCCCUGCACCAUCUCCUAAAAAAGUGCUAUUUUAUUAAUUCAGUACAUAUAGAAGGAAAAAGCACUCCAGAUAGAACUACCAGUACUAAGAAAAUGAGAUUGUCCAUUGGACUUCCAUCAUAGUAUUUUAUAGGAUCCACACUAAUAAAAAUCUAGAGUAAAUGUUUUCAUUGUCUUUGAUUGAUCACAAACAGAUUUCUGCUAGCUCCACAAAGACAAAGAAGCUCAUGCCUGUAAUCCAAUGGAAACUAUUAAAGAAGCAUGUGAACAGAGCAGGAAAACAUCAAAGCACAACAAUAUUGAUUAGUUGUUCUUUACAGUACACAUUUACCAAUGACGUGUUGUGAAUUAAUAGUAACAAAUAGUAAAUAUGAUAGUAAUAACACUGAAAUUUUGAGGCUGAACACAUGCAUUAUGUAGCAGACGGACAUUUCUAAACCUGAAGCGAAAAGAAGAUGGCAUAUAAAAUUAUAAAAUUAAUCUUAAAGAAAAACAUCAUGACACACAUUCUUUAGUUUCAUUCUUGAGACUGCAAUUCUGCAUUACAGGCAUUUUCUCAAUUAGAAUAGUACAAAAUCCACCUCCUAUGUUGUUAUUAGAACAAAAAAGUCACCAGCAGUUAAAAGGUUAGCUUGCAAACCAAAAUAACAAAUAGAAAAUGGCAAGAUUAUUUAGACACCAAUAUUAAGUAGUCAGGCAAUAACGAAUUCAUAUAAGACAUUCGCUUCAAGGGUUUCACUUACAUAUUUGAUGUAUCAGAAUAGAAGCGACCAGACCAAUACCUCUAUGUGUACUGAAACAAUGAUAUAAAAUAGGAUGAAGAUGUGCCCAUCCAUAUUUUGCAGGGAAAUGCAAAGCAACAAUUUUCGUGUUUGUAUAAAACGCUAAUCUAGCAUCUAGUCUUCUUUCGUCAGGCUUGUUUGCAACUAUAUGGAUACAAAACUAAAAGAUUCAUUUAGAAACACAGGAGGAUAUUAAUCCACUAUUCAAUAAGAAAUCGGCAAAAAAAUACAAAACCGAUGAAGGGAUCUAUCUAGUCGCCCAGGCUAGCAACGUCCUCCCUUGUCAAUGACGCCUUCGGAUAGAUCUGCAAUGCAAGAUGAUGAUGCAAUUCCUUUGGACAGAUGUGAAAUGUAAGAUCAAUAUUGUAACAGCAUCAUCAGUACGUUGUAUUGUAUGUAUGAAGUAGCUUUCGGGGAGUGAUGCCGGCUGGGAACAACGACAUCACGAUAAGAGGGACACUUUUUAGGGGAUGGAAAUUAAGACUGCAAUGGCAGGCAGAUGAUUAUGCUCUGUAGGCUCAGUUCAUCGAGGGCUGAAAGUAGCUAAUUUAUAAGUAGCCCGCACUCAAAUUUCCUUUUCCUGUUUUUUGUUGUCGAGACAUACACACACACACACACACACACACACACACACACAGAGAGAGAGAGAGAGAGAGAGAGAGAGAGAGAUGACGAUCCAUUUUUUCCCAAUAGAGCAAAAUAGGAGAAACCAAGGGGACAAUGCCUCUAGGAAAACAGGAGAGACCAAGGAGAGGACGACUCGUCACACGUGGCAUAUGAGCGCAUCUCAUGCUUCAUCCGACUGCUACAGGUAAAUUAUAUAUUCACUUCCUAAGUAAAAUCGUGUAGGUUGGGUCAUUUUUCCACUUCAAGAGUUAUCUAAUUCGUUUGGUUAACAUAUUUCAAUUACAUAGAUUAAUUUGAUAGUUUGAACAACGUUGAUAAAUGAGGAAGCACUAAUUAAAGAAGUCUCUAAUUAGAAUAGUAAAAAUUACAAAGCAUUUCGAUGGGCAGGAUAGAAUGUUAAAAUAUUCAGUAGACGAUUAGUGAUUUUCAAAAAGUCAACACACUGUCAUCUUGAAAUUUCCCUCUCUAACGACACCCUUGGAAGAACUAUCCUAUAUAACAUUGCAUCCUAGCAUGCACAUUCGUGAAUGAAAAAGAAGUUACCCCUGUCGUAACAGCAACUAAGCACUAAAAGGGCACUAAACUUAACAUCCUAAGAAUGAUGAAGGUACUUACACGUAGUUUCUCUCAAGCUGCAAAAAUAUUAUACAAAAUAGUAUGCAUUGACCAUACUUGCAAAAAUAUUACACAUAACAGUGACCAUGGUUAGCAGCAAAAAAUCUUAAGUGGAGUGCAGUACUUGCAUAGUUGCAUAUAGUGUACAGUUAGGGCAAUAACAAAUGAUAUAAACCAUAUGUGUGAUAUAAAAAGAAAUGGAGUUUAACUUUAAGGGAUAAAGGUUUGCAAAAAAAUAUUAUGCAUGUGCAGCUCGUGCUUGAAGCUAACUGUGUAUGGCCAAUAGUUUUAAAAUCUGACUACCAGCUGAUAUAACAACAACAAAAGUGCACAAUUUAGUAGUUUAACACAUGAAAGAAUAUUUAAACUCCAAGCAUCAUACCUCUGUGAUGAAUUGAACGGAUGGAGAAUAGAGUAGGGAUCCUGGCGCUAGCAGUCCGCUGCAGCCCCUUCAGUUGGCAACAUCACUGACUAUGACGGCCGCCUUAUCCGCCGUUGCAUCAACCAUUAUGAGAUUGAUUCAGUAAAUUGGUCUAAAAAGAUUUAUGUUGGCAUGCUGCAUAGUCACAACCGAAAAUAUGUUGUUAUUGAAGACCAAAAAAGAAAGGGAUUGGGGAGAUUCUAGAUUGAAUCGUGAGUCUGUGACCCUUUUUCAGAUCAGUUGAUACAAAUCUGAACUUCAAGAUGACACUGAAGUAAGACGGAGAAGGAUUAGCAACAGGCGAUUGGAUUGUGUGGGCCUUUUUUCAGAGCGACUAUAGCAUGAGGUACACUUGGGGCCUCACGAACAUGGCCUCCAGCGUAAGGCGCUCGUCCAGUGCAGGCACCGCAGCACGACGACGGACGGCAGGGGCGGCGGGAACAUGCAACGGAUGGCGG